UGAGAAAAAGCCAAACCUGCUGUGAGGCAGGGACGGAAAGCCACGGGUCUUAAAAUCAAGACAGCCUGGCUGCCUGAG
RNAcentral lists this non-coding RNA (78 nucleotides) under Desulfobacteraceae bacterium. RNAcentral describes it as "c-di-GMP sequence". It matches the Rfam family "c-di-GMP-I-GGC riboswitch aptamer". The record is from RNAcentral. Lineage: Bacteria; Pseudomonadati; Thermodesulfobacteriota; Desulfobacteria; Desulfobacterales; Desulfobacteraceae.